RNAcentral lists this unclassified non-coding RNA (1050 nucleotides) under Bombus terrestris (buff-tailed bumblebee). RNAcentral describes it as "misc RNA ENSBTSG00005020628.1". Lineage: Eukaryota; Metazoa; Arthropoda; Insecta; Hymenoptera; Apidae. The record is from RNAcentral.
UUUUUUUUUACAGAUCAGGUCCUCUCAACAUCAACAUGAACAACGUGUAAAAUAGUUGUUAGGAUAGUGUGGUCGAAAAAUGGAAUAUUUCAAGAAAUUAAAAUACGAGAAAUAAUGAAUUUGUUCCUGUUGGCAAACUGUUUUGAUACGUAAUUAACAAUGUAUAUUUUGCGAUUGAAACUAUUACACGAUACGAUAGAGGCUCCGAUAUUAGAGUCUCAUCCUUAUACAGUGAUAUAAAUGUAAUAAUAAAAUGAUUUCAACCUGAGAUUUUUAACGAUAACGCGAAUAGGCUUUAACAACGACUUAUCGCUAUCUUAUUAUUUUAUGACAAUCUCUGAAAGAAUCCUUAUCAUUGUAUAAAUCCUAGAAUAAAAAUAUUCGUCCCAUUGACAUCCUUUUUUCUUUAAAGCGCUACUUCAAAACUAUAUCGUAAUUCUCUUUAAUAAAAUAACGAACUUGACAUCAAAAUAAUUUGCUAUUCAGCAGCUAAAAAAUAUUUGAUAUUCACAACUGGGAAUUCGUACAUCUGCAGGGAGGAUUAAUCACGUGCCGGUAUCAUAACGAGGAAAAUCUUAUUUCAGACUAUGUCUAGAACAGUGACAAUGAGGUUCAAAGACAGACUAAUCUUGCUACGUUCAACGUCGAGCUGAGCUAUGUCUGCCUUCGAUGCAUAAUUCCUGUUGAUUAUCGUUACCAUUAAUUCUUCUCUAGUUUUAGGAACUAUCGUUUGUUUAAAAGUACUAAGCUGCUGCUGAUGCCUGUUGCAUCGAGUAAAUCAUUUGAAUAACGCAAUUAUUAUAUUUUAAGCUCUAUAGUUUUCUUUGGAGUGAUUCGUAAAGAUCCGCGAAACAGCAGACAAUGUAACGAAAGAAUUAUUAUUUGUAGUUAAAACGAAGACAUUUCACACGAACAACACUUCGAUUCUCCAAAUGAGUCGCCAUCAGUUUCAAUUAAUAGCGAAUAAUGUGUCAAGUGGUUUCAUGAAUUGAUUGAAAAUCGAUGUAAUCUUAAGAGGCAUUAAAUUCCAGAAAUUCUUCCAUAUUACGG